CUCUGCUCUUGGACAGUCAGCAGUGUCGGCCCCUGCGCGGAUAUUACAGGCAAUAGAUCCUGAUCGUUUAGAGCACCCCAGCCAGGCCAACUCCUAUCACAGUAUACAGAUGGUAAUAAACUAAAGAGGUGUCAUCCUGCAUUCCAAUCCUCUAUAGCAGGCAUAGGCAACCUUCGGCACUGUAGAUGUUGUGGACUACAUCUCCCAUGAUGCUUUGGAUUUGGACAGAUGCACAAAACAUUCUUCCAUAGUAAUGAGGUGAAAGUGGGCGAUACUUAGAAAGGAGAAAGGACAAACAACUUAAGCCCCAUUCUCUUUCAGGAAGAAAAUGUAGGUUCAUUUUCAUAACAAUACAGGUUUGUAUUUAUGCAAACAUUUCCUCCGAAUAACAAUGGAGACAUUAUUCUGGCGAUGUUUGCAGGGCCUUCAAAUGUUUAUUAUGGAGAUUAUCCCAAAUUCCUAUAUUUCAAGUGAAAGCUUCACAAACCUCAUGUUCCCUGAUGAUGGAGAAGCUAUGGAAAAGAUAUAGCUAAGAAGAAAAAUAAAAAAGACAAGAUGGCAGACAACAAU
Long non-coding RNA from Hyla sarda, 570 nucleotides. RefSeq lists it as uncharacterized. NCBI's taxonomy places the organism in Eukaryota, Metazoa, Chordata, Amphibia, Anura, Hylidae. The record is from RefSeq and is a predicted model, not a curated record. The transcript has 3 exons.